RNAcentral lists this small RNA (1841 nucleotides) under Pan troglodytes (chimpanzee). Its description in RNAcentral is "retained intron". The record is from RNAcentral. Lineage: Eukaryota; Metazoa; Chordata; Mammalia; Primates; Hominidae.
CUUUUCCUUAUAACCUUUGUCUGCCUCUGUAGAAGGAGGAUGGGCUUUUGCCCAAACCACUCUCUUCUGGGGGAGAGGAAGAAGAAAAACCCCGGGGCGAGGCUUCUGAGGACCUGUGUGAGAUGGCCCUGGACCCAGAACUGUUGCUUCUGAGGGAUGAUGGAGAGGAGGAGUUUGGAGCAAAGCUGGAGGAUUCGGAGGUCCGGUCCGUUGCCUCAAACCAGUCAGAGAUGGAGUUCUCUUCACUUCAGGACAUGCCCAAGGAGCUGGAUCCCUCUGCUGUGCUCCCCUUAGACUGUCUGCUUGCUUUUGUGUUCUUUGAUGCCAACUGGUGUGGCUACUUGCACCGGCGAGACUUAGAGAGGAUCCUCCUUACCCUUGGGAUCCGGCUCAGUGCAGAGCAGGCCAAGCAGCUGGUCAGCAGGGUGGUGACCCAGAACAUCUGCCAGUACCGGAGCCUUCAGUACAGCCGCCAGGAGGGCCUGGAUGGUGGCCUUCCCGACGAGGUGCUCUUCGGUAUGUCCUGGGGCCCUGCAGCCUUCCUGGGGCACGGGUAGGGCAGGCUGCCCUCUCUGGAGACUCCAUCCUGAAUUCUUUUUCACGGUUCUCUCUAGGAAACCUGGACCUGCUGCCCCCUCCUGGGAAAAGCACGAAGCCAGGUGCUGCCCCCACAGAACACAAAGCCCUGGUGUCCCACAAUGGCAGCCUGAUUAACGUGGGGAGCCUGCUGCAGCGCGCGGAGCAGCAGGACAGCGGCCGGCUCUACCUAGAGAACAAGAUCCACACACUGGAGCUGAAGCUGGAGGAGAGCCAUAACCGUUUCUCAGCCACUGAAGUAACCAAUAAGACGCUGGCGGCAGAGAUGCAGGAGCUGCGAGUCCGGCUGGCGGAGGCCGAGGAGACCGCCCGGACGGCGGAGCGACAGAAGAGCCAGCUCCAGCGGCUGCUGCAGGAGCUCCGCAGGCGUCUGACCCCCCUGCAGCUGGAGAUCCAGCGGGUGGUGGAAAAGGCUGACAGCUGGGUGGAGAAGGAGGAGCCGGCACCUAGCAACUGAUGGCCUCGCACGGAACUGCCAUCCUGUGAGGGCAGCGGUGGCGCCCGGCAAAGUUGGAGCCCUUGCGGUACCAGAAAGCAGCGAGAGCGAGACCUGGCAGCCAGGGCAGGGGUGGCUGACCCCAUGCUCAGCCUCUAGGGGACGGCAGGCCAUCAGGCUGGGGGCUGUGCUAUGUGGGAUGGAUGUGUGAGGAACCCCCGGUUCCACUUAACAACUAAAUACAACAUCUUUUGCACCCCUAGAAUGUCAUUUUGCCCUCAACCUUGGUAUUUCUCCUGGGGCCCUUUUAGUCUUGUGCUGACUUUCUCCUGUCCUCUUCCAGUUUAGAAUAAGACAGGGGAGAAAAAGGCUUUUCGAGUGUGGGACAAGGUCUGAUGUCAGUGAACUGAACUGAAGAGCAAGACAUGGAGCCUGGCUGGGGCUAAGCAGCCCCCUCCUCUGGAUGGCACAGGCUCUGCUAGGUUCCGGACACAGGCUUCUGGGGGAAGGGUCUCCCUUGGCCAUCACGGGAAUGGAGUCCAUGCUAGAAAGUGCUCAGUGUUGGGCUGGGUUUGCCAAUAGAACACUGCGUUCCAGUCACCCCAGUCUUGCCAGAAGAAACCAGCACCUCUUUCCCGUGGCUCCUGUGUUCAGAAUGUGGUAUUGGCUCUGGCCCAGCCUUCUCCCCUGUUACCCAUAAUUCUUGCCUCUUUCCAUAAUCCGUGGUUUCAGUUUGACUUUGUAUAUAAAGUUGGGGUUUUUUUUUUUUUUUUUUGGCUUGUUUUUUAAAUAAACCAAAGUCAAAAAC